UCCUCUGGGAGGUGACGUGGGAGUCCGGGGGUCCCCUCUGCCCAGGGGUGCCCCUGGCAUGCCUGCACAGGGACACAGGGGACAACUCUGCUGGGGCUGGAUGCUUUAGAGCUUUCACCCUUUCAGCCUCUUCAUCUGAGUUCUCAGCACAGGGCUGUGAGGAUGGAAGUUCAAAUGUCAGCUUUCUGGGGUCAGGGACCCAUCUGGGGGCCUACACCAGUUUUGUGCACGGUCAGUUAUAAAGAGGAAUGGUGAUCAGCUGAAGAUGAAAGAAAAUCUCUCUUAGAGACUGCUGGUCUGAAAAGAAGCACACUGCUCACAGCACUAUUUUCCAUCUAUCUGGGUGCUGCAGGUGCAGAAGGCUGGUGAAAAUUCUGCACAUAAUUCUUCUGUAGUCCCACAGAGCUGUGCUAAAACCUCCAGGUCUGGUGAGCCCUGGAUGAGCCGGUCGGGGAGGACUGAAGGAGGGGACAAGCUAGACAUGCAAACCUUCACGGAGAGAGCUUCAGAGCUGCCAGGAGCCAUGAGAGAGUUCAGACUGAGAUCUGGAGAUAGCAAAGCCAGGUUCUAAAGUGGCAGAAGGAGAGUGCUCCAGUCCUGCUGCUAGACCUGUCUGCAAGCCGUGGCAUCUCGCGUACAGGAGUGUGAAGAACGAGUGGAGCGUUAAAUAAGGACGUGGAUAAGUGUGGCAAUUCCCUGCUGACUGCCAGGACAGCCUGCAGAGCGGGCACUGAGGACAGCCUCUCUUCCCCUCCAGAUUUUGCUGUGCCAUCCUUUGUCAAACGUGAAAAAGAAUCAAAAUGUGAAUAAAAGCACAACUUCCAGCAAAUAUUUGGGAUGAUCCUGUGGAACUGUAGCUAUAUCACAGCUAAUAUGACUCUCAAUGUCCUCCUGUUGCCCUCAAUGUUCUGUCUGUAGGAUUCUUAAGUCCAAAUCCUUUGCCUGUACAGUGGCCACUCUUGACUCA
Passer domesticus (house sparrow) is the source of this 967-nucleotide long non-coding RNA. RefSeq lists it as uncharacterized. The transcript has 5 exons. The record is from RefSeq and is a predicted model, not a curated record. Lineage: Eukaryota; Metazoa; Chordata; Aves; Passeriformes; Passeridae.